GAAAUGCGAUAAGUAAUGUGAAUUGCAGAAUUCAGUGAAUCAUCGAAUCUUUGAACGCACAUUGCGCCCGCCAGUAUUCUGGCGGGCAUGCCUGUCCGAGCGUCAUUUCAACCAUCAAGCCCCCGGGCUUGUGUUGGGGACCUGCGGCUGCCCGCAGGCCCUGAAAACCAGUGGCAGGCUCGCUGUCACACCGAGCGUAGUAGCAAUCACCUCGCUCAGGGCGUGCUGCGGGUUCCGGCCGUUAAACAGCCUUACAAAACCCAAGGUUGACCUCGGAUCAGGUAGGAAGACCCGCUGAACUUAAGC
RNAcentral lists this unclassified non-coding RNA (306 nucleotides) under plant metagenome. RNAcentral describes it as "partial contains 5.8S ribosomal RNA, internal transcribed spacer 2, and large subunit ribosomal RNA". The stretch from base 1 to 105 matches the Rfam family "5.8S ribosomal RNA", at positions 50 to 154 of the family's 154-position model. The record is from RNAcentral.